Molecule: transfer RNA, 72 nt
Filed under: Camelus bactrianus (Bactrian camel)
Lineage: Eukaryota; Metazoa; Chordata; Mammalia; Artiodactyla; Camelidae
Also listed under: 3 other names
Rfam family: tRNA
About the family: Transfer RNA (tRNA) molecules are approximately 80 nucleotides in length.
Source: Rfam by way of RNAcentral
GAAGGUGUAGCUCAGUGGUAGAGUACCUGCUUAGCAUGCACAAGAUCCUGGGUUCAAUCCCCAGUACCUCCA